RNAcentral lists this ribosomal RNA (677 nucleotides) under Paenibacillus pabuli. RNAcentral describes it as "bacterial SSU rRNA". It matches the Rfam family "Bacterial small subunit ribosomal RNA", at positions 96 to 760 of the family's 1533-position model. Lineage: Bacteria; Bacillati; Bacillota; Bacilli; Caryophanales; Paenibacillaceae. The record is from RNAcentral.
AGGCGGACGGGUGAGUAACACGUANGNAACCUGCCCUCAAGUUUGGGACAACUACGUAAAACGGUAGCUAAUACCGAAUAGUUGUUUUCUUCGUAUGAAGGAAACUGGAAAGACGGAGCAAUCUGUCACUUGGGGAUGGGCCUGCGGCGCAUUAGCUAGUUGGUGGGGUAACGGCUCACCAAGGCGACGAUGCGUAGCCGACCUGAGAGGGUGAUCGGCCACACUGGGACUGAGACACGGCCCAGACUCCUACGGGAGGCAGCAGUAGGGAAUCUUCCGCAAUGGGCGAAAGCCUGACGGAGCAAUGCCGCGUGAGUGAUGAAGGUUUUCGGAUCGUAAAGCUCUGUUGCCAGGGAAGAACGCUUGGGAGAGUAACUGCUCUCAAGGUGACGGUACCUGAGAAGAAAGCCCCGGCUAACUACGUGCCAGCAGCCGCGGUAAUACGUAGGGGGCAAGCGUUGUCCGGAAUUAUUGGGCGUAAAGCGCGCGCAGGCGGUCAUUUAAGUCUGGUGUUUAAUCCCGGGGCUCAACCCCGGAUCGCACUGGAAACUGGGUGACUUGAGUGCAGAAGAGGAGAGUGGAAUUCCACGUGUAGCGGUGAAAUGCGUAGAUAUGUGGAGGAACACCAGUGGCGAAGGCGACUCUCUGGGCUGUAACUGACGCUGAGGCGCGAAAGC